CCUACGGGCGGCAGCAGUGGGGAAUAUUGCACAAUGGGGGAAACCCUGAUGCAGCGACGCCGCGUGAGCGAAGAAGUAUUUCGGUAUGUAAACUUCUAUCAGCAGGGAAGAAAAUGACGGUACCUGACUAAGAAGCCCCGGCUAACUACGUGCCAGCAGCCGCGGUAAUACGUAGGGGGCAAGCGUUAUCCGGAUUUACUGGGUGUAAAGGGAGCGUAGGCGGGUUAGCAAGUCAGAAGUGAAAGCCCGGGGCUCAACUCCGGGACUGCUUUUGAAACUGUUGAGCUGGAGUGUAGGAGAGGCAAGUGGAAUUCCUAGUGUAGCGGUGAAAUGCGUAGAUAUUAGGAGGAACACCAGUGGCGAAGGCGGCUUACUGGACUGUAAAUGACGCUGAGGCUCGAAAGCGUGGGGAGCAAACAGGAUUAGAUACCCCAGUAGUC
This 440-nucleotide ribosomal RNA is filed under the name uncultured bacterium. RNAcentral's name for it is "partial 16S ribosomal RNA". It matches the Rfam family "Bacterial small subunit ribosomal RNA", at positions 338 to 795 of the family's 1533-position model. The record is from RNAcentral.